This 134-nucleotide small nuclear RNA is filed under the name Zalophus californianus (California sea lion). Its description in RNAcentral is "U11 spliceosomal RNA (ENSZCAG00015022281.1)". It matches the Rfam family "U11 spliceosomal RNA". Lineage: Eukaryota; Metazoa; Chordata; Mammalia; Carnivora; Otariidae. The record is from RNAcentral.
AAAAAGGACUUCUGUUGUGAGUGGCACAUGUAGGGCAGCUCCAUUGCUCUUCUUGCAGAAUCGACAUCAAGAGAUUUCAGAAGCAUAAGUUUUUGGUACCUGUGCAACUAGUGAUCAUUGGUCCCAGUGUCCCC